UGGUAGUGUAUUGGACAUCCAUGGCUGUCACGGGUAACGGAGAAUUAGGGUUCGAUUUCGGAGAAGGAGCCUGAGAAACGGAUAAUACAUUUAAGGAAGGCAGCAGGCGGGUAAAUUACCCAAUCCUAAAUCAGGGAGGUAGUGAUCAAGAUAUAACAACGUGGAGUUAAAUCCGCGAUUGUAGUGAGGUUAUUCCAAACCGAAAUUAUAGUACGAUUGGAGGACAAGUAUUGGUGCCAGCACCCGCGGUAAUUCCAGUUCCAAUAGCGUAUAUUAAAGUUGUUGCAGUUAAAAAGCUCGUAGUUGGAUUUCUAGGGAAAGGGAUGAAACCCGAUGUGUACUAGUCCAUUCUGGGACAGUUACUGUGAGAAAAUUAGAGUGUUUCAAGCAGGCUUUUGCAGGAAUACAUUAGCAUGGAAUAACGAAUGUUUUUAGAAUCUUGGUUAGUUCUAAGUAACGAUUAAUAGGGACAGUUGGGGGCAUUAGUAUUUAAUUGUCAGAGGUGAAAUUCUUGGAUUUGUUAAAGACUAAGC
RNAcentral lists this ribosomal RNA (533 nucleotides) under uncultured ciliate. Its description in RNAcentral is "SSU rRNA". It matches the Rfam family "Eukaryotic small subunit ribosomal RNA", at positions 326 to 941 of the family's 1831-position model. The record is from RNAcentral. Lineage: Eukaryota; Ciliophora.